AUCAACUUUCGAUGGUAGGAUAGAGGCCUACCAUGGNNNUAACGGGUAACGGGGUGUUAGGGCACGACACCGGAGAGGGAGCCUGAGAAACGGCUACCACAUCCAAGGAUGGCAGCAGGCGCGCAAAUUACCCAAUCCCGACACGGGGAGGUAGUGACAAUAAAUAACAAUACGGGGUUCUUUCGGAUCUUGUAAUUGGAAUGAGUACAAUUUAAAUCUCUUAACGAGGAACAAUUGGAGGGCAAGUCUGGUGCCAGCAGCCGCGGUAAUUCCAGCUCCAAUAGCGUAUAUUAAAGUUGUUGCAGUUAAAAAGCUCGUAGUUGAAUUUCGGGGUUAGUAGGCUGGUCAUGCCACCGGUAUGUACUGGUCUUACUGAUUCCUCCUUCCUGAUGAACUGUAAUGCCAUUAAUUUGGUGUUGCAGGGAAUCUGGACUGUUACUUUGAAAAAAUUAGAGUGUUUAAAGCAGGCUAACGCUUGAAUACAUUAGCAUGGAAUAAUGAAAUAGGACGUUCGAUCCUAUUUUGUUGGUUUCUAGGAUUGACGUAAUGAUUAAUAGGGAUAGUUGGGGGCAUUAGUAUUCAAUUGUCAGAGGUGAAAUUCUUGGAUUUAUUGAAGACUAACUACUGCGAAAGCAUUUGCCAGGAUGUUUUCAUUUAAUCUAGAACNAAGUUAGGGGAUCGAAGACGAUCAAAUACCGUCGUAGUCUUAACCAUAAACUAUGCCGACUAGGGAUCGGAUGAUGUUAAUUUUUUAAUGACUCCUUUCGGCGUCUUACGGGAAACCAAAGUGUUUGGGUUC
RNAcentral lists this ribosomal RNA (799 nucleotides) under uncultured Glomus. RNAcentral describes it as "SSU rRNA". It matches the Rfam family "Eukaryotic small subunit ribosomal RNA", at positions 314 to 1114 of the family's 1831-position model. Lineage: Eukaryota; Fungi; Glomeromycota; Glomeromycetes; Glomerales; Glomeraceae. The record is from RNAcentral.